RNAcentral lists this transfer RNA (65 nucleotides) under Amblema plicata. RNAcentral describes it as "Amblema perplicata tRNA-Asn". Lineage: Eukaryota; Metazoa; Mollusca; Bivalvia; Unionida; Unionidae. The record is from RNAcentral.
GGGAAAGAAGCUACACAAAGCAAUUAGCUGUUACCUAAUAGAUAGUKAUUAACUCACCUGCCCUA